RNAcentral lists this ribosomal RNA (500 nucleotides) under uncultured bacterium. RNAcentral describes it as "partial 16S ribosomal RNA". It matches the Rfam family "Bacterial small subunit ribosomal RNA", at positions 30 to 523 of the family's 1533-position model. The record is from RNAcentral.
AUUGAACGCUGGCGGCAUGCCUUACACAUGCAAGUCGAACGGCAGCACGGGAGCAAUCCUGGUGGCGAGUGGCGAACGGGUGAGUAAUAUAUCGGAACGUGCCCAGUCGUGGGGGAUAACGCAGCGAAAGCUGUGCUAAUACCGCAUACGAUCUACGGAUGAAAGCGGGGGAUCGCAAGACCUCGCGCGAUUGGAGCGGCCGAUAUCAGAUUAGCUAGUUGGUGGGGUAAAGGCCUACCAAGGCGACGAUCUGUAGCUGGUCUGAGAGGACGACCAGCCACACUGGAACUGAGACACGGUCCAGACUCCUACGGGAGGCAGCAGUGGGGAAUUUUGGACAAUGGGCGCAAGCCUGAUCCAGCAAUGCCGCGUGCAGGAUGAAGGCCUUCGGGUUGUAAACUGCUUUUGUACGGAACGAAACGGUGAGCUCUAAUACAGUUUGCUAAUGACGGUACCGUAAGAAUAAGCACCGGCUAACUACGUGCCAGCCGCCGCAGUAA